This 305-nucleotide ribosomal RNA is filed under the name uncultured bacterium. RNAcentral's name for it is "bacterial SSU rRNA". It matches the Rfam family "Bacterial small subunit ribosomal RNA", at positions 333 to 635 of the family's 1533-position model. The record is from RNAcentral.
GAGCUCCUACGGGGGGCAGCAGUGAGGAAUAUUGGUCAAUGGGCGCGAGCCUGAACCAGCCAAGCCGCGUGAGGGAAGACGGCCCUAUGGGUUGUAAACCUCUUUUGUCGGAGAACAAAACCCGGGACGUGUCCCGGACUGCGUGUAUCCGAAGAAAAAGCAUCGGCUAACUCCGUGCCAGCAGCCGCGGUAAUACGGAAGGUCCGGGCGUUAUCCGGAUUUAUUGGGUUUAAAGGGAGCGUAGGCCGGCUUUUAAGUCAGCUGUGAAAGUCCGCGGCUCAACCGUGGAAUUGCAGUUGAAACUG